Molecule: ribosomal RNA, 497 nt
Filed under: uncultured bacterium
Lineage: Bacteria
Description: partial 16S ribosomal RNA
Rfam family: Bacterial small subunit ribosomal RNA
Source: RNAcentral
GAUGAACGCUGGCGGCGUGCCUAAUACAUGCAAGUCGAGCGAACGGACGAGAAGCUUGCUUUUCUGAUGUUAGCGGCGGACGGGUGAGUAACACGUGGAUAACCUACCUAUAAGACUGGGAUAACUUCGGGAAACCGGAGCUAAUACCGGAUAAUAUUUUGAACCGCAUGGUUCAAAAGUGAAAGACGGUCUUGCUGUCACUUAUAGAUGGAUCCGCGCUGCAUUAGCUAGUUGGUAAGGUAACGGCUUACCAAGGCAACGAUGCAUAGCCGACCUGAGAGGGUGAUCGGCGACACUGGAAGUGAGACACGGUCCAGACUCCUAAGGGAGGCAGCAGUAGGGAAUCUUCCGCAAUGGGCGAAAGCCUGACGGAGCAACGCCGCGUGAGUGAUGAAGGUCUUCGGAUCGUAAAACUCUGUUAUUAGGGAAGAACAUAUGUGUAAGUAACUGUGCACAUCGUGACGGUACCUAAUCAGAAAGCCACGGCUAACUACGUG